Molecule: ribosomal RNA, 497 nt
Filed under: uncultured bacterium
Lineage: Bacteria
Description: partial 16S ribosomal RNA
Rfam family: Bacterial small subunit ribosomal RNA
Source: RNAcentral
GAUGAACGCUGGCGGCGUGCCUAAUACAUGCAAGUCGAGCGAACAGACGAGGAGCUUGCUCCUCUGACGUUAGCGGCGGACGGGUGAGUAACACGUGGAUAACCUACCUAUCAGACUGGGAUAACUUCGGGAAACCGGAGCUACUACCCGAUAACAUGUUGCCCCGCAUGGUUCAACAGUGAAAGACGGUCUUGCUGUCACUUAUAGAUGGAUCCGCGCCGCAUUCGCUAGUUGGUAAGGUAACGGCUUACCAAGGCAACGAUGCGUAGCCGACCUGAGAGGGUGGUCGGCCACACUGGAACUGAGACACGGUCCAGACUCCUACGGGAGGCAGCAGUAGGGAAUCUUCCGCAAGGGGCGAGAGCCUGACAGAGCAACGCCGCGUGAGUGAAGAAGGUCUUCGGAUCGGAAAACUCUGUUAUUAGGGAAGAACAAAUGUGUAAGUAACUGUGCACGUCUUGACGGUACCGGAUCAGAAAGCCACGGCUAACUACGUG